Molecule: ribosomal RNA, 253 nt
Filed under: uncultured bacterium
Lineage: Bacteria
Description: partial 16S ribosomal RNA
Rfam family: Bacterial small subunit ribosomal RNA
Source: RNAcentral
UACGUAGGUGGCAAGCGUUGUCCGGAUUUACUGGGCGUAAAGCGCGUUCAGGCGGUUUGGCAAGUCGGGCAUGAAAUCUCUCGGCUCAACCGGGAGAGGUUGUCCGAUACUGCUGGACUUGAGGGCAGUAGAGGGUGGUGGAAUUCCUGGUGUAGCGGUGAAAUGCGUAGAUAUCAGGAGGAACACCGGUGGCGAAGGCGCUCAUCUGGCCCAAUACUGACGCUGAGGCGCGAAAGCUAGGGGAGCAAACGGG